CUCUCGAAAAGCCACACCUGCCGAAAGGCAGGGUCGGAAAGGCCAGAGUCUCCCCUUGAGGCCGUCAGCCCGCCGAA
Molecule: non-coding RNA, 77 nt
Filed under: Gammaproteobacteria bacterium
Lineage: Bacteria; Pseudomonadati; Pseudomonadota; Gammaproteobacteria
Description: c-di-GMP sequence
Rfam family: c-di-GMP-I riboswitch aptamer
About the family: GEMM was predicted in a large-scale screen for bacterial structured RNA regulatory elements. Genes associated with GEMM are involved in a diverse array of functions, including chemotaxis regulation, signal transduction, secretion and chitin.
Source: RNAcentral